UCUGGCGACCGGCGCACGGGUGAGUAACACGUAUCCAACCUGCCCUUUACUCGGGAUAGCCUUUCGAAAGAAAGAUUAAUACCCGAUGGCAUAAUGAUUCCGCAUGGUUUGAUUAUUAAAGGAUUCCGGUAAAGGAUGGGGAUGCGUUCCAUUAGGUUGUUGGUGAGGUAACGGCUCACCAAGCCUUCGAUGGAUAGGGGUUCUGAGAGGAAGGUCCCCCACAUUGGAACUGAGACACGGUCCAA
Molecule: ribosomal RNA, 245 nt
Filed under: uncultured bacterium
Lineage: Bacteria
Description: partial 16S ribosomal RNA
Rfam family: Bacterial small subunit ribosomal RNA
Source: RNAcentral